This 492-nucleotide ribosomal RNA is filed under the name uncultured bacterium. Its description in RNAcentral is "partial 16S ribosomal RNA". It matches the Rfam family "Bacterial small subunit ribosomal RNA", at positions 29 to 507 of the family's 1533-position model. The record is from RNAcentral.
AGUGAACGCUGGCGGUAGGCCUAACACAUGCAAGUCGAACGGCAGCACAGUAAGAGCUUGCUCUUACGGGUGGCGAGUGGCGGACGGGUGAGGAAUACAUCGGAAUCUACUUUUUCGUGGGGGAUAACGUAGGGAAACUUACGCUAAUACCGCAUACGACCUACGGGUGAAAGCAGGGGAUCUUCGGACCUUGCGCGAUUGAAUGAGCCGAUGUCGGAUUAGCUAGUUGGCGGGGUAAAGGCCCACCAAGGCGACGAUCCGUAGCUGGUCUGAGAGGAUGAUCAGCCACACUGGAACUGAGACACGGUCCAGACUCCUACGGGAGGCAGCAGUAGGGAAUAUUGGGCAAUGGGCGGAAGCCUGAUCCAGCCAUACCGCGUGGGUGAAGAAGGGCUUCGGGUUGUAAAACCCUUUUGUUGGGGAAGAAAAACAGCAGGUUUAUACCCCGGUGUUUUGACGGUACCCAAAGAAAAAGCACCGGCUAACUUCGUG